GACGAACCGUGCGAACGUUGUUCGGAAUCACUGGGCUUAAAGGGCGCGUAGGCGGGCUGCCGCGUCCGGGGUGAAAUCCUCCCGCUCAACGGGAGAACGGCCUCGGAUACGGGCGGCCUCGAGGGAGGUAGGGGCAUCGGGAACUGUGAGUGGAGCGGUGAAAUGCGUUGAUAUUCACAGGAACUCCGGUGGCGAAGGCGCGGUGCUGGACCUCAUCUGACGCUGAGGUGCGAAAGCCAGGGGAGCGAACGGG
RNAcentral lists this ribosomal RNA (253 nucleotides) under uncultured bacterium. RNAcentral describes it as "partial 16S ribosomal RNA". It matches the Rfam family "Bacterial small subunit ribosomal RNA", at positions 524 to 776 of the family's 1533-position model. The record is from RNAcentral.